Molecule: ribosomal RNA, 478 nt
Filed under: uncultured bacterium
Lineage: Bacteria
Description: partial 16S ribosomal RNA
Rfam family: Bacterial small subunit ribosomal RNA
Source: RNAcentral
GAUGAACGCUGGCGGCGUGCUUAACACAUGCAAGUCGAACGAGAAAUGGAGACGGAAACCUUCGGGCGGAAGGCUUCAUUUCGAGUGGCGGCCGGGUGAGUAACGCGUUGGUAACCUGCCUCAUACAGGGGGAUAACAGUUGGAAACGACUGUUAAUACUGCAUAAGACCACAGCACCGCAUGGUGCGGUGGUAAAAACUCCGGUGGUAUGAGAUGGACCCGCGUUCGAUUAGCCAGUUGGCGGGGUAACGGCCCACCAAAGCGACGAUCGAUAGCCGAUCUGAGAGGAUGACCGGACACAUUGGGACUGAGACACGGCCCAAACUCCUACGGGAGGCAGCAGUGGGGAAUAUUGCACAGUGGGGGAAGCGCUGAUGCAGCGACGCCGCGUGAGUGAAGAAGUACUUCGGUAUGUAAAGCGCUAUCAGCAGGGAAGAAAAUGACGGUACCUGAGCAAGAAGCCCCGGCUAACUACGUG